RNAcentral lists this ribosomal RNA (857 nucleotides) under Capnodiales sp. CCFEE 5410. RNAcentral's name for it is "mitochondrial SSU rRNA". It matches the Rfam family "Bacterial small subunit ribosomal RNA", at positions 357 to 1216 of the family's 1533-position model. The record is from RNAcentral. Lineage: Eukaryota; Fungi; Ascomycota; Dothideomycetes; Capnodiales.
GGGAAUAUGGUCAAUGGCCUAACGGCUGAACCAGCAAUUUGGGGGAAUGUAUGAUGUAAAUCAAUAUUUGCAUACUAAGCUAUGCAUGUAUAUUGACUUUGUCAAAUAAAGUUCUAGAUAGAUAAUUGAUGAUGACAAACUUCUAUCUAUAUGUCUUGACCAAGUCUUGUGCCAGCAGUCGCGGCAAUACAAGGAAGACUAGUGUUAUUCAUCUUCAUUAGGUUUAAAGGGUACCUAGACGGUGUUUAUAGCCUCAAAAAGGUACACAUACACUAGAGUUUAAUGGGAGAGGUAGAUAUUAGGGCUAUUGGUGUAGAGAUGAAAUUUUUUGAUACUAAUGGAACGGAUAGCGGCGAAGACAACCCUCUAUGUAUAAACUGACGUUGAGGGACGAAGGCUUGGGGAGCAAACAGGAUUAGAUACCCCAGUAGUCCAGGCAGAAAAUUAUGAAUGUUAUAGACGAAAUAAAUAAAAAUUCGGUGUAUAAAUGAAAGUGUAAGCAUUCCACCUCAAGAGUAAUGUGGCAACGCAGGAACUGAAAUCAUUAGACCGUUUCUGAAACCAGUAGUGAAGUAUGUUAUUUAAUUCGAUGACCCUCGAUAAACCUUACCACAAUUUGAAUGGUAUAUAGGUAAUUGGCCUCUUAUAUAUGACAAGCGUUGCACGGCUGUCUUCAGUUAAUGUCGUGAGAUUUUGGUUAGAUCCAUUAAAUUAACGUAAACCCUCGCUCUAUUUAAUAUAUUCCUAUAUGCUGGUUGCACACCGCUAGUGACAGAUUUAUAUAAUGAGGCAGUUCACGCUAUAUUGGAUGCGAUAACAGGGACCAGACAAGUCAUCAUGGUCUUAUAUGUGGCUUA